CACCAAAGCACCACACACUCAUGCCUUCCCUUACCCAGAAGAAACAGUAGGAACAGAAAAAGUCUGAAACACUGAAACCCAAAAGCUUCAACAAUCAAGGAAGUAAAAAAGAGAAUCGCUUUAUGCAACCCCAGAAAUCCAUCCUUUAAUUAAACUCUCUCAAAUGCAUAUAAACUAAAUUCACAAACACCAUUCUAAGUCUCAACUUCCAUAACCCGAAAGGCAAUACAAAGCCAUGUCUUUGAGCCCACCUCGAACGAGAUCCAAUGGCUUCCCCAACUCAUUCGGCCUCUAUUGGUGCUAUCGGUGCCAUCGGACGGUCAGGAUUGCGGCAUCAAACCCAUCUGAAAUUGCUUGCCCUCGAUGUUUCGGGCAUUUCCUUAGUGAGAUUGAGAUAGGCAGACCGAGAUUGGUUGUUGAUUUCACGGCUUUUGACCCUUCACCUGAAGCUCGCUUGCUCGAAGCCCUCUCUCUGUUUCUUGACCCGCCAAUCAGACGUUCAAACGAAGAUAUUGACGUCCCAAUCACAUCCGAAGGUCCCGAACCCACUCGCCGCCCUUUUUUAUUUUCCCGCCGCCGCAACGAGCUGGGCCUUAACGGCAAUUUUCCUGUCCGGAGGCGGCGAGGCCGGAGUAAUGAAGACGAACCCGGAAUCCAAUCCAGGCCGAGGACAUGGAUAAUCCUUAGACCCGUGGAUCCUAACAACCCGGAUGAUCGAAUUACCCGACCCGAGAAUCCAGUUCCACAGGGGGUUGAUCCGAGAAAUUACUUUCUCGGGCCGGGAUUAAACGAACUGAUCGAGCAAUUGACCCAAAAUGACAGACCGGGGCUGCCACCGGCGCCUGAAUGGGCGAUUGAGGCGAUACCGACGGUGAAAAUCAGAGAAGACCAUCUAGUAAAUGAUUCGAAUUGUCCGGUGUGUCAGGAAGAGUUCAAGGUCGGUGGAGAAGCAAAGGAAUUGCCAUGUAAACAUAUAUACCAUAAUGACUGCAUUGCUCCAUGGUUAAGGCUUCAUAAUUCGUGUCCGGUUUGUCGGCAAGAGUUGCCUGUGAGGAGCCAAAAUAGCAGUAAUCAAGAGGAUGAUGGUGCAGAGGCAAGGAACAGGAGAUGCUCGAGGCUGAGGCAAAUGGUGUCGAAUAUGUGGCCGUUUCGGGCUCGGGAUCGCCGGAUCACCCCAAAUGAUGAUGCUGGGUCCUCUUCUCAUGGAGCUGACUCACGGUGGCCCUCUUGCAGUAUUCUUUAGCUCUCAGUCUCUCAAUAGGUUGCGCUAGCUGUGUCUCGAUAUAUUUAACAGAGGAAAGGGACACCAGAUGCAAAAAACCAAGAGAUGCUGGUUAGAGCUUGCUGUGCUUCAUGUAAUCAUGUGUAUGGAAUUAUGGAUCCAAUCGUGUAUAAGACCAGCUCACUCUUCUGGCGAUCCCAUCAAAUUUAUGUAAAAGACCUUCUAUUAUUGAUGUUAUUUACAUGGCUAAUUAACAAGCUGUGCAUCUUCAGAUCUUCUGUAAUAGCAUUUGAACCUUCAUAAGAAUGUUGCAUAUAUAUA
This is an RNA transcript of Tripterygium wilfordii, 1543 nucleotides long. It is a transcript of the gene named E3 ubiquitin-protein ligase RZF1, with no coding region annotated. The record is from RefSeq and is a predicted model, not a curated record. Lineage: Eukaryota; Viridiplantae; Streptophyta; Magnoliopsida; Celastrales; Celastraceae. The transcript is spliced from 3 exons.